UAGGAAUCGGACCAGGAUCCCGUCUAAACGCUGUAAGAGGAGAGGAUCAGCAGCAUUGAUUCCCUGCCUCUCAGGUAGGGUGACCAGACAGCAAGUGUGAAAAAUCGGGAAGGGUGUGGGGGGUGUAAUAGGCACCUAUAUAAAACAAAGCCCCCAAUAGCAGGACUGUCUCUAUAAAAUCGGGACGUCUGGUCACCCUACUCUCAGGCAGCGGGUGCCCCCGUGCCCAACCCCGAACCGAGCCCCACGCCCACCCCUUCCGAGUGCGCUCCGCGCCCCAGCGGAGACACAACCGUGUAAACAGAAAACGCCACUCCAGUUCCUCCCCGGCGCAAAACCCGGACCCGGGUCCAGACAGACCCCUCUGCAGCAGGGGCAGAUGCGCGAGGGGGGCCAGGCUCUGAGGACACAGACGCCAAGAAAUGAUGAACCUUGGUGCAAGUCACCAGGAAACCAAGACUCGAAGAAGUUCUUUUAUGAAAGGCAAAGGUUUUGAAGGCCCUGGGUAGCUGCAGUGAGAUUAGCAUCAUGAUGGAUGGAGUACCACCACUGAAGGACCCAAAGCUCUUCAUAAGACACCUGCAGUUUGAUGAGGUGCCAAUGACGGAUGAUUUGCCAGCCCAGAUUGCAAUUGGCUGGCCAAAGAAGAGGGCUUUGGGAUG
Trachemys scripta elegans is the source of this 662-nucleotide long non-coding RNA. RefSeq lists it as uncharacterized. NCBI's taxonomy places the organism in Eukaryota, Metazoa, Chordata, Testudines, Emydidae. The transcript has 3 exons. The record is from RefSeq and is a predicted model, not a curated record.